AAAAAAAAAAAAAAAAAAAAAAAAAAACAAAUAAUUAGAGACUUGCAGCCCACAGGGGAAGAUAAACGAUCAAAGAGCCUGAUUCAGUUUAGUGGCAUAAGACUUCUGUGAGUGCAGAUGGAAAGUGCAUUGUGAAAUCCAGGGCUUCAGAUUAAGGACUGCAUUCUGGACGGUAACACCUCCAGUCUCCUACUCCUGUGAUUUUCAGAACUCGGGGAGCCAAACAUUUACCUGCUUAGCAGGAUACAAGGGAAUCCUCUGAGGAGAUGGACUUGCUUAAAAUAAAAUACAUACUGAUAAUGACAUUUGUGGAACAGGUAAAUUUAGUUCUAUGACCCAGGCAUGGAAGAAUAAGAAAGGUGGUAAGAGAAAGAAUUGAAGCUUGAAAAGGAAAGAGCCACAACAUAAAAAUUAAAGAUAAUUUAGAAGAUUAAAUGUAAGUGAAAAAAAUUAGAAGAUUAAAUGUAAGUGAAAAAAAUUUGUAAGAACCUCCAAAUGUCUUUUAAAUUAAAAUACAUCAGUGUUCAUUUAUUACCGAUAUGGUCAGUCUUCAUAAUCUUUAGAAUGAGAUUCUGUUAAAUCAAAAUCGACAAAGUAAAAGAAAUCCUAAAUUUUGUAUUUUAUUUGUUUUCUCAUUAUUACUUUGUAAAUUUAGGAAAAUAUAUAUUAAUAUACAUUAGCUAUAAUAUGACAAAUGCCUAUGCCUAAGCCAGAAUUAAAGGAUUUGCAAUUAUAUCUAAAAAUCGGAAACCACUGUCAAGCUAUUUCUUUUCAUGCACCUUGGGGCAAGGAAAAAAGAAGGGAUCAAUGGACAAAAUUACCUAUUGAUUUCUCAACGAUGUGCAUCCUUUUUUAUUAUAAUAAGUUUUAUUUUUCCCUUCUAGGUGUUAGUGCAUUGGAAAAUCAUUUAAAGAAUGUAUCAGCUAAUUGAAGGCUUAUGUGUGAGUUUGACUUUUUAUGAUUAUAUAGAAAUAUAUUUCCAAGUGUCUUUCCUUAAAAAGUUAGAUACUAUUUUAAUUUGCAUAGUAUAAGUAAGACUUUUAUCAUUAUUUACUUACAUUGGAUCUGCAAGGGAAGCCCUGCAGUCAAGUUUUAUACCCACUUGAUGCCAAGAUUGGCUGUUUGGCUCAUUAGAUGUUAUUGCUGAUUUUCUGCUCUUGCCUAGAGUCUCUAUAUAUUCCGUCAUGGGUCAAUACAGGGUUUCUUACUUGCAUGUCCAGUUCGCUGUGCUGGAGUCAGUUCCUUUCAAUAGAACCAGAGCAAAAACCAGAGACUUGGGGUAAUGUAAUCGUGUGUGUGUGUGUGUGUGUGUGUGUGUAUAGGUUGAAAGAAUGUCAGAUAAGGAUCAAUUUUGCAUAGCAUAAUGUGAGGAGAAUAAUCGUCUGGAAGUUAAAAUUAUAGAGUGUUCAGAUGGUAAACUGCAGAAACUUAUGAUACAUAAAAGGAAGGCCCUAAAAAAUAAGAGGAUGUAGUGCUCAUGAAAUAAAAACUGAGUAGUCAAACCAAACAUCAAGUUCUCCCAGAAAGUGAGUUAAUUAAAUGAAAAGAAAUAUUAAUGGUUGAGUUUUAACAUACAGUGGUCUUAGUUCUUCUCUCCUCUCCUCUAAACCUUGGACUUUCAUUCACAGAGUAAGUGGAAUAUGAUAUAACUUCUAGUCUUACAGGAUUUGAAUAUUGUAGAUAAUUUACAAAUGAUUCAGGCCAUUUAGAAAACUAUUGUUUUGCUCUCCUGAUUCUUUGACUCUGGCAUUCUUCUCCUUGAGAUCAUGUAUUAGCUAAACUGAUUCUUAUUGAAAAGACAGGUGCUGAGGGUAACUCAAAUCAUGUAUAUAACUGAUGGACUAUGUGAAUUUUUCUGUAUCCUCCACCUAUGUCUGUUGGCAGAUGUCACUUAUACCAUCUGCUUUUAUCUUUAGGUAAACAAGAUUCCUGCCAGGCUUUGACUACUACCCUUGGCCUUCCUAUACAGGGUUGUAAAGAAUCAUCAUGAUGUAUGUUUGAAAUUAUGUUUAACAGUAUUACAGUCAAUAUAGACUAAAUUUUGAUGCAGUAACAACCUCAGAACUUUUACAAUCAUUGCUGGACUGAGAGAGAAAGAGAGAGUGAACAGGGAAUGUCACAUGAGCAGAGAAUGUCACUAUCUCAACUGUAAAAAACAAACAUUACUUCUACUCACAUUUCAUUGCCCAGAACUAGUCCUAUACCUGUGCCUAACUGGAAAUGAGCACAAACUAUCGUGUCUGUCAUGCUCAAGGAGAGGAAAUUGGUUAUUGGUCAGUGUCAAUAUUGUCCACAAAUGUGAAUUACAUUUUAUAAGGUGUUGACUCUGCCUGUCACCCACAAAAGAGCUUUGAGUACAAUUGGCAAACCGUAUAUGCUAUAUUUUUAAAACAAUAUUUCUCUUCCAUGUGUUAAAUGUAAUAAUUGUUUUAGAUUAUUUAACUUGAUAUAUUACUAAGCUUUUUUUCCCUACUCAAACAAAAAGUACUCUUACAAUCAAAGAAACAUGUUUAUUGUUGUUGUUGAUUUAAUUUUCAAACACAUUUGAAGGACUCAAAACACAACCACUCUUUCAAACCUCAAAUAUCAACUAAGUUAUAAUCAGUAUCUUUUGUAUGGUAAGGCACUAGACCCAGAAUAACAGAAGAAAAACAAUGGAAGAUAAAUUUAAAAGUUAAUGGAAGAAAACAUAAUUAUGGAGAGUUACAACUAUUACAUGUUUACUUUUAAACUGGUAAUUGAUAUCUAAAAUAAGUAAGGGUUUGAUAUGGGAAGAAUAGUAAACGGGAGAUAGGAGCACUAAUUUUAAGACACUUUUUUGACAUCAGUUAGUAAAACAAUUUUGGAAAAAAACAAUGAUCUAUGUUUCUUAAAUCUAAUUAAUUUAUAUUAUUUCAUAUAUAUUUUUUAAAAUGAGCUAUCCUUCAAAAUGCAACCGAUUAGAAUAUUUUACUAUCUUUUCUAUGAAGUUUAAGGUUUAAUAAGCUUUCACUUUAACUUUCUAAUACAAUGGAAUAAUUUCUAUUGUCAUUUUAUUGUGUAAUACUAUUGUAAAGCUUUAAAACAUAAAAAAAUACAAAAACAUAAAAUUUACAUUUUAUAUAAAGAUACAAUUUGUAAAACAAUUUAGAACAUAUUAUUCUAUUACAAUAAAUUAUCCUGCAAACUUUUAGGGUUGUUCUUUGCUUCUAAUAUCCCAUAUGAGAAUUUACUAAUCUUAAGCUGUCAGAUCUUACUUUUCUCACUUCCUUAACCAUAUUUUCUGCCUUCAUCUCACCCUUGCAUUCUCAAGCUUUCUUGACCUAUGGCAAAAUAAAUAUUAAUAUGAAUUCAUAGACAGAUGUAUAUUUAUAGAUCUGUGGAAGAUUAAUAUCUCAUAUCCAUUUUUUGUUGUAUUUAUUUAUGAAUUUAUUUAUUCAUGUGGCCCAGUUUGGCUUUUUGAAAUGAUAGCCUCAUGAAAUGUUUCAUAAUGAUAUCUUUAUUCUGUGACUGGAUUAAAAUUUAUGUUAUUUCUGUAAACUCAGUUUGAAUUACUCCAUCUUUGAUGUCUAUAGUAUGGAAUUAACACAGUGGAGUUUAUGUGCUUCAUGGGACCCUUAAGUGCAAACUUGUAAAAUCUUUCAUUAUUUCAAUAAUUACACAUGAUAAUAAUUUAGAGACAUGAGUGACAUCUAAACUUUGAAAACGGCAUUGUGCUCUUUCUAAAUGUAUUAUGGAGGAUUUCUCUCAUUUUUCUUGUCUUAAUUGUUUAAAUGCAUUUGAGCAAAGUUUCCAUUUACCUUGCUAGUUGUUUUAGAUGGCUGCCGGAUCGCUAUUCAUGAAGGAAGGACUAACAGAUGGAGACCCGCUACUGACUUCAGUAAACCUAAAUUAUCUGAAAGUGGUAGAAUAAGAGAAAGGUUAUGAAUGGUGAUGACAUUGAGCCCAGGUUAAAUCCAGGAAGCCAACACCCAGUUUUAUGUAUAAAGUUUGAAAGAUGUAAGAUGAGAGAAAGGCAUAUUGUCAGUAAUGAAUCAGUGUAAAUCAGAACUUGGGAACUGAUACUGUUAAUUGUCUUCUGGAGGCCCACUUAAUUGUGGUUUUUGAAAAUUAUGCCACGAGGAGGAGAUAUUUGUGUUCUCUCAUGAGCGUGAAAACAGCGUUUGGUGUUGCGUUAUUCCAACUGCCAUUUGCUAUUGGUGAUCGUUCUUCUCUAGAGAAUGCGCAACCUACUCAUCUGACAAAGGGC
This 4228-nucleotide long non-coding RNA is filed under the name Homo sapiens (human). Its description in RNAcentral is "long non-coding RNA NONHSAT195923.1". The stretch from base 4025 to 4228 matches the Rfam family "Small nucleolar RNA U3", at positions 1 to 191 of the family's 219-position model. The record is from RNAcentral. Lineage: Eukaryota; Metazoa; Chordata; Mammalia; Primates; Hominidae.